Molecule: transfer RNA, 76 nt
Filed under: Campylobacterota bacterium
Lineage: Bacteria; Pseudomonadati; Campylobacterota
Description: Epsilonproteobacteria bacterium tRNA-Thr
Rfam family: tRNA
About the family: Transfer RNA (tRNA) molecules are approximately 80 nucleotides in length. Their secondary structure includes four short double-helical elements and three loops (D, anti-codon, and T loops). Further hydrogen bonds mediate the characteristic L-shaped molecular structure. tRNAs have two regions of fundamental functional importance: the anti-codon, which is responsible for specific mRNA codon recognition, and the 3' end, to which the tRNAs corresponding amino acid is attached (by aminoacyl-tRNA synthetases). tRNAs cope with the degeneracy of the genetic code in two manners: having more than one tRNA (with a specific anti-codon) for a particular amino acid; and 'wobble' base-pairing, i.e. permitting non-standard base-pairing at the 3rd anti-codon position.
Source: RNAcentral
GCUGGUGUAACUCAGUUGGUAGAGUAGCUGAUUUGUAAUCAGCCUGUCGUAGGUUCGACUCCUAUCACCAGCUCCA